Molecule: ribosomal RNA, 301 nt
Filed under: uncultured bacterium
Lineage: Bacteria
Description: partial 16S ribosomal RNA
Rfam family: Bacterial small subunit ribosomal RNA
Source: RNAcentral
CAGCCGCCACGGGAAUACAGAGGGUGCAAGCGUUAAUCGGAUUUACUGGGCGUAAAGCGUGUGUAGGUGGCUGUUCAAGUCGGUUGUGAAAGCCCUGGGCUCAACCUGGGAAUUGCUUCCGAGACUGAGCGGCUAGAGUACGGUAGAGGGCGGUGGAAUUUCCGGUGUAGCGGUGAAAUGCGUAGAUAUCGGAAGGAACACCAAUGGCGAAGGCAGCCGCCUGGGCCUGUACUGACACUGAGACACGAAAGCGUGGGGAUCAAACAGGAUUAGAUACCCCUGUAGUCCCUGUCUCUUAUAC